UCCAUGUAAUAAAAAAAAGAAGAUAGCCGUGGACAUUCCACUCAAUAACCCUUAUCCAGUGGUGUUCCUCUAAUUCCAAACUUUAUCCCGUAAACUAUCUCACUUGAAUUGGCCAUUUACCUCUUAGAUUCUUCAUCAAUGGCGUUACUUCGCUUACUGUGUUGUCCAUCCCUAUUUCCCUCUGCCACUUUGUUUCCCCCCCUGCACCACCUAUCUCCAAUUAGUCCCAUUUCUUUGCAUACUCCUCUUUUCUCCCCCAUUAAACCCCAAAGACCCUACCUUUACAUCUCCCAUUGCUCUUCACCAGAAACUACUCAACCAGAAGAUGAAAGCUCGAAAACAAGAGUACUCGCUCAGAAUGCUCCUUGGACUUAUACUCCUGAUGACCUUCGCCCUCUCUUUCAGAAAUAUGGCACUGUUCACGACAUUGAGGUUGCAAUGUAUAACAAGACAAGAAGCAGGGGCUUAGUCUUUGUUACAAUGGGUUCACAUGAGGAAGCUAAGGCAGUUCUUGAAAACCUCGAAGCGUAUGAGCUUGAGGGUAGACCUUUGAGACUUGCCUGGGCUAAGCCAAAGACUAAGAAACCUUCUUCUCCACCGCCAUCCAAGCCGCUGCCUGUACACAAUCUGUUUGUGGCUAAUUUGCAUUUCGAAGCAAGGUCUAAAGACCUUAUGGAAUUCUUUAAGGAAAAUGGGGCAAAUGUUGUUUCUGCUGAAGUCAUAUUCAAUGAUAAUCCCAGACGAUCUGCCGGAUAUGGAUUUGUUUCUCUUAACACCAAGGAGGAGGCUGACGCAGCCCUAUCCUCAUUUGACGGAAAGGAAUUUAUGGGGAGACAGAUAAGGGUGGCACACAGUAAAAGAUUUCUGAGAGAAGAGACAAAAAAGACUAUCCACUCCCAAGAACAAACAUCUGAAUUGAUCUCUGUGGCAGAAUGAGCUAAUGCUGCUAGAAUUUGAAAGUUAUUCCUAUGAGGAAGUGAGAUGUAACAUUGGACUAGAUGCCAUUGCUAUAAUUGGCCAAACCUACGAAUCCCAGGACCCUGACUAAUUCGGAUUCAUGCCGCGUAAGGCGUAAGGCCCAUUUAAGGGAAAACGCUCCCUAACAAGAUUUUUCCCAUAUACAGGGCUCAAACCUGAGACUUCUGAUAAAGGAUAAAGGAUCAUAUAUCCCAACACAAUCCUUGUUGGUCGUCCUAUCUUAUUACUUCACUGGCAAACAAUCAUCUUGGAAUUAGGGCAACUAAAGGAGCAGGCGCAAGAGGGGAGCAGCGGGCCUGACCCUGUUGAGCCUAACGACCCCAACAAAAUUAGUUUUCUAAUUCUCUUAAGGACUCGUUGGUCCAUAGAUCUUGUUUCAAGAAUUUGAAAUAAUAUUUGGAAAUCAUUUCAAAUAGGUGUUUCUUCUAAUUAA
Lycium barbarum (goji berry) is the source of this 1411-nucleotide RNA transcript. It is a transcript of the gene named 28 kDa ribonucleoprotein, chloroplastic, with no coding region annotated. Lineage: Eukaryota; Viridiplantae; Streptophyta; Magnoliopsida; Solanales; Solanaceae. The transcript is spliced from 6 exons. The record is from RefSeq and is a predicted model, not a curated record.